Molecule: long non-coding RNA, 630 nt
Organism: Homo sapiens (human)
Lineage: Eukaryota; Metazoa; Chordata; Mammalia; Primates; Hominidae
Product: long intergenic non-protein coding RNA 1089
Source: Ensembl
CCGGCGGCGGCAGCUGCGCCGCCAAAGCCCCGGGCCCCAGCGGCCCCCCACCCCUCACUCGCGCGCUCCCACACUGCCUCCCCCUCCCCGGGGGAAGGCCUUUUAAUUUAUUUAUUUUUCUGGGACUGGGGUGGGGGUCUUGGCUGGCGGGGGAGGGGGUCUCCCCGGGCUCUACCUCCCGCGGCCGGGACUACCCUCAGAGCCGCGACCGCCGCGGCGUGCGUCCCGGGCCUGCAAAACUGUUUCCAAACUGCCCGGGCCGGAGGCGGGCGCGCGGGGCCCGGGGAGAUGGCUGGGGUCUGGGGGGCCGAGGGUGUGUGUGGACGCUGGGAGCCGCGGGGGGAGGCCGGCGUCGACUCAGAGGAGUUGCAAUCGAGGUCCGGGAGUGGCGGCGGCCAAUCAGCGCGCGGCUUCCAUUUUAGCAGUAAACAGUCCUCAGCGAAGCCGCCUUUUUGCCUACCCAACCCUGGAAAGUUUGCAGAAGUGGAAGGAGCAGAACGUGAGGGUGUAACUUACAAAAAGGUUCUGGGCCGGAGAAGGGGCGACGUUCGGGCACCCCCCGAAUGGACAAUCUUUCCUUCUGUCAACGGCAGGGGCAGGCCUAGUUUGACUCUGACAGUCCUCCCACUA